GAACAUUUAGAACAAAAAUGGAGGAAGAGCUGUCGCUGGCAGCUAAUGGCCUUGGGUUGGCCCCAGCUAGCCAGACAGAGCAGCUGCCCUGGGCAGUGGCGGCUGCGAGGAGAAUGCGAGCACCUCACCCUGUCCCUGUUGGAGGACAGCUGAGGCCUGUCUGCUUGGUCAGCUGUCUUUCUGCUUCCCUCACAGGUCCUGGAUGCCAGUGGGUGCCUGCUGCACCCUGGCUUGGAAGGAUGGGUAUAAGGAGGGUGAGGAAGGAAAGGAAUCUGACCGCCUCCCGUUCCAGCCCCCAGGACCUCUCGUGAGCACCCACUACCUCAUUCACCCACUCACAUUUGGCAAGGAGUGAGGAAUUGACUCACUCCAACUGCCAAAUGAGCCCUGCCCCAAAGAUCCCCAAAUGGGGUCAGCCACCAGGUCUCAGAGCCUAGCUGGUGUCUCUCCAGGUCAGUGUCUGAACUCAGAGAAGCUUCUAGAUUCUGACUAGCAAGAGGGAGAAAUCUGGGAUGGCAAGUAUGGUUUCCUAAAUUUUUAUUUCCUUGGCCUAUUCCUUGGGUCAGUCUGAUAGCAGGCAUCCCAGGGGCCCAGGCCCACGUAGGUAAGUAUGCCCUCUGAGUGCUGAGUGAGUCUGACGGGUAUGAGCCACUGGGUUCACAGUCCCAUUUGAGGGCCCCUGGGGGUCCUGAGGCCUUGAAGCCAAAGCUGUCUCACACUAAUCUGUUUCUUACUUUUUUCAUAAAGAUGCAGCAACAAAGGUGAGAGAGGCCACUGGAGCCUCCACCAGGCAAAGCAGGGCCCAAGAUCAUCAUAGCUUCCACCACUGAGCUCCCAUCUUCUUAACACUUUAGGUGACAAAAGGGAACGUCCACACCACACGCUAUCGAGGUAAGGUGCGGAGUGGUCGGAAGGGAGCGCGGGUGCUGCCCACGUCUGUGUGGCAAGCAGCAUAGUCACUUUUCUACAUGGAACACAACUUUUACUUGAGAAAACCUCCCAAGCUGUGGUUAUUCUGACUUAAGAAUUUGGAAGCUAUUUUCUUGAGAAUCAACUAAAUGCACCUGUGGUCCUCAGGAAGCCAGUAGACUGUUGCCAAUGAUGAAAAUAUUCAGACUUUGAAAGAAGCUUAGAAUUUUGGAAAACUUGUAUCAUCAUGAGUUGACACAUUCCCAGCAUUUAGGGACUUUUCUGUUGAGAUCAAUGGUGAUGUUAGGGAAAUGUGAUUUUGGAUGAUGUACAACAGGUCAACGUUUGGAGGACCUACCUUUGCUCAGCAAACUAUUACUUUCAGAUGGCUCAUGUACAACGUUACAAAAUCAUAUGUGGGAAAAGGUCCAUUUAAAAUACAAGGCAGACAGUGUUUUGCUUUUUUUGUUUGUUUUAGUUUGGG
This 1393-nucleotide long non-coding RNA is filed under the name Marmota monax (woodchuck). Lineage: Eukaryota; Metazoa; Chordata; Mammalia; Rodentia; Sciuridae. The record is from RNAcentral.